This 253-nucleotide ribosomal RNA is filed under the name uncultured bacterium. RNAcentral describes it as "partial 16S ribosomal RNA". It matches the Rfam family "Bacterial small subunit ribosomal RNA", at positions 524 to 776 of the family's 1533-position model. The record is from RNAcentral.
UACAGAGGGGGCAAGCGUUGUUCGGAAUUAUUGGGCGUAAAGCGCGUGUAGGCGGCUUGGCAAGUCGGGUGUGAAAUCCCUCAGCUUAACUGAGGAAGUGCGCCCGAAACUGCCGAGCUUGAGUACCGGAGAGGGUGAAGGAAUUCCCCAAGUAGAGGUGAAAUUCGUAGAUAUGGGGAGGAACACCGGUGGCGAAGGCGGCCACCUGGACGGAUACUGACGCUGAGACGCGAAAGCGUGGGGAGCAAACAGG